Molecule: ribosomal RNA, 253 nt
Filed under: uncultured bacterium
Lineage: Bacteria
Description: partial 16S ribosomal RNA
Rfam family: Bacterial small subunit ribosomal RNA
Source: RNAcentral
GACAUAGGUGGCAAGCGUUAUUCGGAAUUACUAGGCGUAAAGCGAGUGUAGGCGGACGCUUAAGUCUGACGUUAAAUCUCCCGGCUUAACUGGGAGCUGUCGUCGGAUACUGAGCGCCUCGAGUGAGGUAGGGGGCAGGGGAAUUCCAGGUGUAGCAGUGAAAUGCGUAGAGAUGUGGAAGAACACCGAUGGCGAAGGCAGCCCCCUGGGAUGUGACUGACGCUCAUGUACGAAAGCGUGGGGAGCAAACAGG